Mercenaria mercenaria is the source of this 5907-nucleotide long non-coding RNA. RefSeq lists it as uncharacterized. The record is from RefSeq and is a predicted model, not a curated record. The transcript is spliced from 3 exons. Lineage: Eukaryota; Metazoa; Mollusca; Bivalvia; Venerida; Veneridae.
AGGUUCUUCAGAACAUCUUGGAUUUUGUGGAUGAGGGGCCCUUAUUUAAAAGUUUCAUGAAGGACUAUGAAGCUGCUCAGAGAUUAUUACAAGCUGGCUUUCAUGAUUCAUGAAGAUUUUAUGACAAGACUGGAGGAAGCCUAUUUACAAGCUGACAGUGCCGAAGUGGUUAUUGUUGAAGAAUAGUAAAGUGUAUGCAAUUUGGAGAUCUCAACAGUUAUAUGCAGUCUGGGAUAUUGUCAGUUGUAUGCAGUCAGGGGAUCUCGACUGUUGUAUGCAGUCAGGAGAUCACGACAGUUGUAUGCAGUCCGGGGAUCUCAACAGUACUUUGCAGUCCGGGGAUCUUGACAGUUGUAUGCAGUCUGGGGAUCUCGACAAUACUUUGCAGUCCAGGGAUCUUGACAGUUGCAUGCAGUCAGGAGAUCACGACAGUUGUAUGCAGUCCGAGGAUCUCGACAGUACUUUGCAGUCCAGGGAUCUUGAUGGUUGUAUGCAGUCAGGAGAUCUUGGAUCUUUUUGUACUGUUGACAUUCUCAAGAUUCUGUCUUAAAUAAAACUUACUUGGACAGUUUAAAAGCUUCUCUAUAACUUGUCUGUGACAUUCUAAAAUAGAAGACAUGUAUAUGAAUAUUUAGUUCCAGCAUGCCAUACUUGAGCAUUUGAGUUUUGGAAAGGUGGCAGUUUGAAUGUUUACAGUGGUCUCUGUAAACUGUUAUUUGGCAAAUUGACGUGGAUUUUGGUAGUAAAUAUGUUAUCAGUGGUGCAAGACUGGAAUUUUGAUCAAAUUCAAAAAAUUUUGACUCUGAGGUGAAAAAGUGGACUAACUGCAUGAUGAGAUAUCUGUACCUUUGCACAGGCUAUAAAGAAGUGUCAUCUGUUUUCAUGGGUAGUUCCCAGGACUUUAUAAGUAAUUUUUUGCAGUUUGUGUAUUUUUGAAUGUGUUGAAGCACAAUGAGGAACUUUUGGACUUAACAGCAGUUUCAGAACAGGACAACUGGUUCAGCUGGCCGGUCUGGGACGUCCAGUGCCCAGACUGCUGGUGCUGCAAACCCCACUGACGGGACAACUAGUUAGACUGGCUGGUCCGGGUCCUCACAGACCCUGACAGCUGGUGCCACAAACCCCAUGGAUGUCGGCAGGAAUGGAGUUCAGAAGAAACUGAAAAUACAAAACUGUUUUGACAACCGCACUGACAGGACAACUGGUUCGGCUAGCCGGUCUGGGGUGUCCAGUGCCCAGACUGCUGGUGCCGUGAACCCAAAUGACAGGACAACUGGUUCGGCUGGCCGGUUUGGGUCCUCACAGACCCAGACUGCUGGUGCCGCGAACCCUACAAAUGUUGACAGGAAUGGAGUUCACCAUAUGGAGUCGGAAGAAACUGAAAACACAAAACUGUUUUGAUUAGUGAUGACAACCGCACUGACAGGACAACUGGUUUGGCUGGCCGGUCUCGGGUGUCCAGUGCCCAGACUGCUGGUGCCGCGAACCCCACCAACAGGACAACUGGUUUGGCUGGCCGGUUUGGGUCCUCACAGACCCAGACUGCUGGUGCCGCAAACCCCAUGGAUGUCCGCAGCUCUCAUCUGGUGGAAGAAACAGCUACAAGUGGUGAGCAGCAUAGAAACAAGCAUUCUGGAAAUCGAGGAUAUGAUUCCAGUCGUGACCAGGCUGGUGACCUUGAUUGUGGUUAUUGGGAUACGAAGGAUUUGAUAGAGAGGCGGGGAACCGCAGACAGGGCAUGAAUAAAGGACGGGGCGGGUAUCAUGGAAGAGGUGCAUUUGAUAAACAGGGCAGGAGUGAUAGUUCUAUGAGAUAUUGUUCGGGAGAUCGCAGUGGGUGUGAUUCUUAUGACCCACACCCUGGGAGUUCAGUAGUAGAGGUUGACAGAGCAGAUCUCAAAGAUGAUAAGAAGACAGAGAGAGCACAGACACAGAGACGAUAGCCGUCAAAGCCACCAGCGUCUUGACUGAGGCUUUUAUAAUUAUUGUAAUAAACUUGGUUGAAUGUGAAUGGAUGGAACACAAAUGGCUUCUCAGAUAAUUUUAAUUUUGGAGCUAAUUUUAUUAAUAAACUUCAUUCUGAUGUAAUUGUUAUUUCAGAAACACACCUAACAGGUGAUAAGAUAAUUGAACUGUCUAUGUAUUUUAUGGACACAGUAGAAAAAAUAUUCACGUAAAUGCACAAACUGGUUCAGAUGGAGUUUGUAUUUUUGUAAAAAAGUCAUUUGCAGAACAUUUUAGUAUUGAAAUUUUAGACACAAGCUAUGAGGGAAUUUUAUGGUUAAGUUUUAAUCUAAAAAAGUUUUGAGAAAAUUGUUGCUGUUUAUGCUUGCUUUUUGCCACAAAUGGGAUCUUCUACAUAUGUGAAGAUCAUGAUUAUUUUGACCAACAGUUAAGUAAUAUAUACGAGUAUCAGAAAUUUGGUAAAUUAUUUAUUCAUCAGUGGAUUAGAUGUAAGAAAUAAUCGGCAAAGUUCUGUACCAUUUGAAUUUGUAGAUGAUUCUGGGAUUUGUACUUCUAGCCCUGUUUUAGUUUUGAAUAUGUGGAAAAUAGACUUUUAUAACUUACAUUGAAAACUGACAUGUCUGUUGAAGGGAUUGCAGAUAUUGAAAGCAAUGUAUAUAUAGAUAAUUGUACUGAUCAAGACAUUCACAUUGUUUUAUGUUAAAACUGCUAUUUUUAGCUCACCUGAGCACAAAGAGCUCAAGGUGAGCUUUUGUGAUCGCCCUGUGUCCGUCGUCUGUCGGCGGCGGCGUCAACAAUUUGAUUGUUAACACCCCAGAGGUCACAAUUUUGGCCCAAUCUUAAUGAAACUUGGUCAGAGUGUUACCCUCAUAAAAUCUUGGACAAUUUUAUAUUGGGUCAUCUGUGGUCAAAAACUAGGUCACCAGGUCAAAUCAAAGGAAAAGCUUGUUAACACUCUAGAGGUCACAAUUUUGGCUCAGUCUUAAUGAAACUUGGUCAGAAUGUUACCCUCAAUAAAAUCUUGCACGAGUUCGAUAUUAGGUCACACUUUUGAGGCCACAUUUAUGACCAUAUCUAAAUGAAACUUGGUUAGAAUGUUAAUCUUGAUGAUCUCAAGGUCAGUAGGUCAGGUGACCGAUACAGGGCUUUCAUGGCCCUCUUGUUUUGGGAAGGUCUGUAUGAACCAUGAGCUUAUACUACAAAGGGAUGACAUCCCUGCAUAGCUUUUCUUCCAUGUGCACACUCUGAAUCUGUUGUAAGGUGUAUGUAAUACUUAUACUAAGAGCUUAAAGAAAGCUUCUGCCUCAUAAUUUCAGUAUACUGGAAAGAUGCUACUUUACCAUUUAUUUUGUCAAUGCUUGUAGCCAGGUUGGUUUAAACAAAAUCCAUGAGCAACAGACUAUAGGUUAAGAUAGAAAAGCUAUUACUUCUUGCAUUUAGUAAAUAUUCAUAUGUUAGGGAUAUGGUAGGAUAAGGCAAAAAAAAAAACAAAAAACAAACUGGCUAUUGGUUUCAGAAAACUGCCAUAUCACCACAUUUUAAGGAUGGUUUUGGCCAUGUAUUUUUGGACUAAAUUUCAGUAGAUAGGGAUGGUAAGGUAGCAUAAGGUUUUUACUGCCACUGUUUGUGUGAAAGUGCAUUGUAUGAUUGUGUUUAAGUCAGCCCUCAUCACAUAAUAAGGUAACAGGUAUUGCCAUAUCGUUUUAUAUGUGCAGCAAUUGUAGCCAGACUGUUCACUAAGUUUGGUAAAAAUCCAUCAUCAAGAGAGGGCUGCAUCUCGGGUCAUAUCAUUCUUUUAUGUUAAAUAUACAAUAUUAAAGUUUUUUGACACUGUUUAAAUAUUAGGACUUUGAUACUGGUAACAUUAAAGCCAGUUAUGAAUAAAGUGGUUAAGAAAAAAAUAAUAUUUCUUUGUGUUUCUUACAUGAUAAUGUUUUGAUAAUCUUAGCUGUUAGGGAUAUGGUAGAAUAAUGCUAAGUGUCUAAUACUGGCUACAGGUUUUUCAUGAAAACUACCAUAUCACCACAUUUCACGUAUAAGGGCAAUUUCGGCAACAUUUAUUCAUUUUUGGACUAAAUUUCAGAGAUAGGAAUUAAUUGCUGAAGAAAAUAGGAAAAUUAUCAUCAUUUAUUAUUUUUAUAAGUUGUAUAUAAACAAAGUGUGUUUGAGCAGUGUGCAAGAAAUUUUGUGUGUCUUCCUGACAACUGAUGAGAUACUACUGCAAAAAGACUGCCAGAAGUUUUGGCUUUUUGGCUUAUAUGGAGACUGGCAGCUGACCUUGGACGUGUAGUAUACUUGUUUUAUUCUAGCCACUGUCAAACUUGACAGUCUUAGGGAUGCAACACUACCAUGUCAUUGUGCUUGCACAUGAUUAUGUGGCAAGUUAAGCCAUUGAAGUUUGGAGAAAAUCCUCAACUUGUAAGUUUACUAGCAAGUCAAAGAAUAACAUGAGUUUAGCCAUUACAUUUUUCUGCAUUUUACAGUUUAAACAAUUGUUGUUUAUUAUUGUGUUGUAUUAUUUUAUCAUUUAAGUUUCAUUUUAUAGGACUGUGGUAGAGUGGGUCAGUUAGUUAAUGAUCAUAUUAAAUGAUAGUAACUGGCUACAGGUCUAGAAAUAAAACUACCACUUCUUGCAUUUAAUAAUCUUAUGUUUAAGUGAUAUGGUAGGAUAAAGAAAGAAAUACUGGCAACUGGUCUUAGAAAACUAUCAUAUCACAAUAUUUCAAGGGAAGUUUUGGCCUCGCCGUGCUUUAAACAUUUUUUUUGUUUUCAACAGCUGCACGUGCCUGGAUUUUUGAACAUUUUUGAUCUAAAUUUCAAGAAAUAGGGAUGACAUGGUAGAAUAAAGGUUAAUGUCAGCAAUUGUAUUUUUAUUAAAAUAUCCGUGUAUAGGUAAAUUUUGACAUGUUUAAAGGAUCAUAGAAUAAAUGAUAACUGAUUUUUUUUAAUAACACUGAUAAAUAUAGUAAAUGAAUGUUCAGUGAAUGAAUGAUGAUUGAAUUAUGGAGCAAAAAGUGAUGGAUGAAUGUUGAAUGAAUUAUUUUGUAAAACCCAAUGAGUGAAUGGUGAAUGAAUUACUUUGUAAAACAGUGUUUGAAUACUAAAUUCAAAAUUGCUUUUUAGAACAUUGGACAGACUGUAGCUAAAGUAGAGAUAUUGUAAAACAGUGGCAGGAUUAGAUUUUGUUGUCACAGGAGUUACUUUUAAAAUUUGAUUUAAUUUAUAACACACAGUGAUAAGAUCUUUAAGUGGGUUUUUUUUGUAACAUACAGUGGCAAUGUUGUUUAGUGGUUUAAAUAACAGUGGCAAGGUCUUUUAGUGGGUUUAAUUUGUAAAAUACAUGGCAAGCUACCAGUAUUUUAGUGAGUUCAAUUUGUAAGACACAGUGGCAAUGUGUUUUAGUGGGUUUAAUUUGUAAAAUACAUUGGCAAGGUCUUUUAAUGGAUUUAAUUUGUAAAAUACAAUGGCAAGGCCUUUUAAUGGGAUUAAGUUUCUUCUAAGGUCUUUAAGUGGAUUUAAGACUGUUCAGUCUGUAUACAGGGAUAUAACUGUGUUGAGUUUUCAUAUACUUUGCAUAUUCUGCCUGCCUAAAUUUCUUAGUGGUAUUUAAUCUUGGAAAAGUUAAUUAUAAUAUUACAAAAUACAAUGUGGUAUCAAGUAAUAAUAAUGAUAUAUUAAAAAUAAAAAUAAUAAGAGGUGUUCGCAAGACAGCACACUCUACUUUUCUCAGUGCUUCGCUCAUAAUCAGAGCUAAAAGAAUUAUAAAACCUUAAUUUUUUAAAAAAAACUUUUAUGUUAAAAAUAGACAUAACUCUGUUGAAAUUAAAAACAGAGUUAAUGGGCAUUGUUUCUCCUAGUGUAAACUUUGAUGAUAGAUAACUUUCUUAAGUUUAAAGUCAAAAUCAUUGAUAGUAACAGAUAUAUCUGACUUUAUCAAAAACUU